AGAGUUGAUCCUGGCUAGGACGAACGCUGCGGCAUGCCUAACACAUGCAAGUCGAACGGGGGGUAGCAAUACCCUAGUGGCGAACGGGUGAGUAACACAUAAGCAAUCUGCCCUUCACAGGGGGAUAACAGCGGGAAACUGCUGCUAAUACCGCAUAAGACCACGGUACCGCAUGGUACAGGGGUAAAAACGAAUCAGUGGUGAAGGAUGAGCUUAUGUUCCAUUAGCUAGUUGGUGAGAUAACAGCCCACCAAGGCGACGAUGGGUAGCCGACCUGAGAGGGUGAUCGGCCACACUGGAACUGAGACACGGUCCAGACUCCUACGGGAGGCAGCAGUGGGGAAUAUUGGGCAAUGGAGGAAACUCUCCACCCAGCAAUGCCGCGUGAGUGAAGAAGGUCUUCGGAUUGUAAAGCUCUUUGAUUGGGGACGAAGAAAGUGACGGUACCCAAAGAACAAGCCCCGGCUAACUACGUGCCAGCAGCAGC
RNAcentral lists this ribosomal RNA (487 nucleotides) under uncultured bacterium. RNAcentral's name for it is "bacterial SSU rRNA". It matches the Rfam family "Bacterial small subunit ribosomal RNA", at positions 9 to 518 of the family's 1533-position model. The record is from RNAcentral.